CACAACCAACUUAGUCUUGCAUUUCUAUCUUCUGUUAUACUAGGUGCUCUGCAUUUUAAAGUUAUAGAAUCUCCAGCAAAUACUACUUGAUUAUGAACUGGCCGAAGUUCAAUUGUGGGAGGUGAUACACAUUUUGGGGCAGGACUGAAAUAUUUCAAAAGCUUAUUACACUAUGAUACACAUUAUACCCUAUAUGAUUACUAAAUCUCUAUUUUUGUAUUUAAAAAAUAUAUUACUUUAAUUUAA
Bombus pyrosoma is the source of this 246-nucleotide long non-coding RNA. RefSeq lists it as uncharacterized. NCBI's taxonomy places the organism in Eukaryota, Metazoa, Arthropoda, Insecta, Hymenoptera, Apidae. The transcript has 2 exons. The record is from RefSeq and is a predicted model, not a curated record.